CCCUUAGAUGUUCUGGGCCGCACGCGCGCUACACUGAUUCAUGCAACAAGUUUUGUCCUUGGCUGAUAGGCCUGGGUAAUCUUUGAACGUGAAUCGUGAUGGGGAUAGAUGAUUGUAAUUAUUCAUCUUCAACGAGGAAUUCCUAGUAAACGCAAGUCAUCAGCUUGCAUUGAUUACGUCCCUGCCCUUUGUACACACCGCCCGUCGCACCUACCGAUUGAAUGGUCCGGUGAAAUCUUCGGAUCUGAGAGAUGUCUGAUUAAUUUCGGACGCCUUUUGGAAAAGUUGUUUAAACCUUACCAUUUAGAGGAAGGUGAAGUCGUAACA
Molecule: ribosomal RNA, 327 nt
Filed under: uncultured eukaryote
Lineage: Eukaryota
Description: partial 18S ribosomal RNA
Rfam family: Eukaryotic small subunit ribosomal RNA
Source: RNAcentral